This is a long non-coding RNA of Etheostoma cragini (Arkansas darter), 559 nucleotides long. RefSeq lists it as uncharacterized. Lineage: Eukaryota; Metazoa; Chordata; Actinopteri; Perciformes; Percidae. The record is from RefSeq and is a predicted model, not a curated record. The transcript is spliced from 4 exons.
AAGCGCUCCAGCGUGUCUUCUGAGAGAUCCUCCACCCGCAGCAGGGAGAUGGUCUCUGGUCGGGAGUUGCGGUCCACCAGGGCGACACUCUGGAACAUUUACAACACUGUUAGCACUGCAGCCAGUUUCUCAAGAGGAGCUAGGUCAGAGGCAGAUGGAAACUAAAUCCUCACAUGCAAUGAAAUGAGCAGUAAGAUAAGAAGAAGAGUCUUUGGAGCUAACUCUUCCAGACUGGUUUGAAGGGGAACCUUGUUGAAGGACCAGGACUCAGAAUCUACCAGCUGAGUCACAUGACCGAGCAGCUUCAUCUCGUAGUCAAAGUCCAACAUGCGCCAGAAGCCUAGAAGACAGGAACAAUGCUCUCUCUAAACACCCGGCAUGGAUGGUCUCUAAGUGGGUCUUUAGCUCCUCUUCACUGGCCUGGAUCCUCUCCAACAGAUCUUGCAUUGUGUACUGGUAACAGAGGAACACAUACUCACUAACAACUACAAUGAAAUUUAAAAGAAGUGGGACACUUACCAUUAAAACACUCAAAAUGUAACAGUCAACUCUGUCAGCU